AGGACGAACGCUGGCGGCGUGCUUAACACAUGCAAGUCAAGGGGGCCCAGCAAUGGGCAACCGGCGAACGGGUGCGUAACACGUGAGCAACCUACCGAAAUGUGGGGGAUAGCCGGCCUAACGGCCGAGUAAUACCGCAUACGCUCUCGAUGAGACAUUUCAUUGAGAGGAAACCUACGGGACAUUUCGAGGGGCUCGCGGCCUAUCAGCUAGUUGGCGAGGUAACGGCUCACCGAAGGCAACGACGGGUA
RNAcentral lists this ribosomal RNA (251 nucleotides) under uncultured soil bacterium. RNAcentral's name for it is "partial 16S ribosomal RNA". It matches the Rfam family "Bacterial small subunit ribosomal RNA", at positions 26 to 285 of the family's 1533-position model. The record is from RNAcentral.